GACGAACGCUGGCGGCGUGCUUAACACAUGCAAGUCGAACGGAAAGGCCCUGCUUUUGUGGGGUGCUCGAGUGGCGAACGGGUGAGUAACACGUGAGUAACCUGCCCUUGACUUUGGGAUAACUUCAGGAAACUGGGGCUAAUACCGGAUAGGAGCUCCUGCUGCAUGGUGGGGGUUGGAAAGUUUCGGCGGUUGGGGAUGGACUCGCGGCUUAUCAGCUUGUUGGUGGGGUAGUGGCUUACCAAGGCUUUGACGGGUAGCCGGCCUGAGAGGGUGACCGGCCACAAUGGGACUGAGAUACCGCCCAGACUCCUACGGGAGGCAGGAGUGGGGAAUAUUGCACAAUGGGCGGAAGCCUGAUGCAGCAACGCCGCGUGCGGGAUGACGGCCUUCGGGUUGGAAACCGCUUUCGCCUGUGACGAAGCGUGAGUGACGGUAAUGGGUAAAGAAGCACCGGCUAACUACGUG
Molecule: ribosomal RNA, 468 nt
Filed under: uncultured bacterium
Lineage: Bacteria
Description: partial 16S ribosomal RNA
Rfam family: Bacterial small subunit ribosomal RNA
Source: RNAcentral